Molecule: ribosomal RNA, 726 nt
Filed under: uncultured bacterium
Lineage: Bacteria
Description: bacterial SSU rRNA
Rfam family: Bacterial small subunit ribosomal RNA
Source: RNAcentral
UAACACGUGAGUGACCUGCCUUUUAGACUGGAACAACUUACCGAAAGGUGAGCUAAUGCCGGAUGAGUUAUAUAAGUGCAUGUUUAUAUAGGAAAAGUUGGGGAGACCUGACGCUGAAAGAUGGACUCGCGUCCCAUUAGCUAGUUGGUAGGGUAAUGGCCUACCAAGGCGACGAUGGGUAGCCGGCCUGAGAGGGUGGCCGGCCACACUGGGACUGAGACACGGCCCAGACUCCUACGGGAGGCAGCAGUGGGGAAUUUUGCGCAAUGCUCGUAAGAGUGACGCAGCGACGCCGCGUGAAUGACGAAGGCCUUCGGGUCGUAAAGUUCUUUCGACAGGGAAGAAAAUGCCUAUAAGUAACUGUGUAUGUAUUGACGGUACCUGUAUAAGCAGCCCCGGCUAACUCCGUGCCAGCAGCCGCGGUAAUACGGAGGGGGCGAGCGUUGUUCGGAGUGACUGGGCGUAAAGAGCACGUAGGCGGUGUUGUAAGUCAUUAGUCAAAGACUAGAGCUCAACUUUAGUAAGGCUAGUGAUACUAUAAUACUAGAGUAUCAGAGAGGAUUGCAGAAUUCCUGGUGUAGCGGUGAAAUGCGUAGAUAUCAGGAGGAAUACCGUUAGCGAAGGCGGCAAUCUGGCUGGAAACUGACGCUGAGGUGCGAAAGCGUGGGUAGCAAACAGGAUUAGAUACCCUGGUAGUCCACGCUGUAAACGAUGGAUGCUAGGUGU